Molecule: ribosomal RNA, 253 nt
Filed under: uncultured bacterium
Lineage: Bacteria
Description: partial 16S ribosomal RNA
Rfam family: Bacterial small subunit ribosomal RNA
Source: RNAcentral
UACGUAGGGUGCGAGCGUUAAUCGGAAUUACUGGGCGUAAAGCGUGCGCAGGCGGUUAUGUAAGACAGAUGUGAAAUCCCCGGGCUUAACCUGGGAACUGCAUUUGUGACUGCAUGGCUAGAGUUUGGCAGAGGGGGGUAGAAUUCCACGUGUAGCAGUGAAAUGCGUAGAUAUGUGGAGGAAUACCGAUGGCGAAGGCAGCCCCCUGGGUCAAGACUGACGCUCAUGCACGAAAGCGUGGGGAGCAAACAGG